Molecule: ribosomal RNA, 305 nt
Filed under: Escherichia coli
Lineage: Bacteria; Pseudomonadati; Pseudomonadota; Gammaproteobacteria; Enterobacterales; Enterobacteriaceae
Description: partial 23S ribosomal RNA
Rfam family: Bacterial large subunit ribosomal RNA
Source: RNAcentral
GAAAGACCCCGUGAACCUUUACUAUAGCUUGACACUGAACAUUGAGCCUUGAUGUGUAGGAUAGGUGGGAGGCUUUGAAGUGUGGACGCCAGUCUGCAUGGAGCCGACCUUGAAAUACCACCCUUUAAUGUUUGAUGUUCUAACGUUGGCCCGUAAUCCGGGUUGCGGACAGUGUCUGGUGGGUAGUUUGACUGGGGCGGUCUCCUCCUAAAGAGUAACGGAGGAGCACGAAGGUUGGCUAAUCCUGGUCGGACAUCAGGAGGUUAGUGCAAUGGCAUAAGCCAGCUUGACUGCGAGCGUGACGG